GUGCUUGUUUCAGCAGCACAUACACUGAAACUGGAACACUACAGAGAAGAUCAGCAUGGUUCCUGGGCACACAAAUUUGUGAAACAUUCCAUAUUUUU
Molecule: small nuclear RNA, 98 nt
Organism: Fukomys damarensis (Damara mole-rat)
Lineage: Eukaryota; Metazoa; Chordata; Mammalia; Rodentia; Bathyergidae
Source: Ensembl